AGAGUUUGAUCAUGGCUCAGGAUGAACGCUAGCUACAGGCUUAACACAUGCAAGUCGAGGGGAAACGACAUCGAAAGCUUGCUUUUGAUGGGCGUCGACCGGCGCACGGGUGAGUAACGCGUAUCCAACCUGCCCACCACUUGGGGAUAACCUUGCGAAAGUAAGACUAAUACCCAAUGACGUCUCUAGAAGACAUCUGAAAGAGAUUAAAGAUUUAUCGGUGAUGGAUGGGGAUGCGUCUGAUUAGCUUGUUGGGCGGGUAACGGCCACCAAGGCGACGAUCAGUAGGGGUUCUGAGAGGAAGGUCCCCCANAUUGGAACUGAGACACGGUCCAAACUCCGUACGGGAGGCA
Molecule: ribosomal RNA, 353 nt
Filed under: uncultured bacterium
Lineage: Bacteria
Description: bacterial SSU rRNA
Rfam family: Bacterial small subunit ribosomal RNA
Source: RNAcentral